GAUGAACGCUGGCGGCGUGCCUAAUACAUGCAAGUCGAGCGAACAGACGAGGAGCUUGCUCCUCUGACGUUAGCGGCGGACGGGUGAGUAACACGUGGAUAACCUACCUAUAAGACUGGGAUAACUUCGGGAAACCGGAGCUAAUACCGGAUAACAUGUUGAACCGCAUGGUUCAACAGUGAAAGACGGUCUUGCUGUCACUUAUAGAUGGAUCCGCGCCGCAUUAGCUAGUUGGUAAGGUAACGGCUUACCAAGGCAACGAUGCGUAGCCGACCUGAGAGGGUGAUCGGCCACACUGGAACUGAGACACGGUCCAGACCCCUACGGGAGGCUGCAGUAGGGAAUCUUCCGCAAUGGGCGAAAGCCUGACGGAGCAACGCCGCGUGAGUGAAGAAGGUCUUCGGAUCGUAAAACUCUGUUAUUAGGGAAGAACAAAUGUGUAAGUAACUAUGCACGUCCUGACGGUACCUAGUCAGAAAGCCACGGCUAACUACGUG
RNAcentral lists this ribosomal RNA (497 nucleotides) under uncultured bacterium. Its description in RNAcentral is "partial 16S ribosomal RNA". It matches the Rfam family "Bacterial small subunit ribosomal RNA", at positions 28 to 507 of the family's 1533-position model. The record is from RNAcentral.